AUCUAUCGGUCGGAGAAGCCCUGACCCACCAGUGCUGAGCAAGGCUAAGUUUGUUGAGAAAGUUCGUCAGAGUAACCAGGCCUGUCAUGACGGAGACUUCCACACGGCGAUUGUUCUGUAUAACGAGGCCCUGGCUGUCGACCCUCAGAAUUGCAUCUUAUACAGUAAUAGAGCUUCAGCCUAUAUGAAAAUUCAGCAGUAUGACAAGGCGUUGGAUGAUGCAAUCAGAGCUCGACUUCUCAAUCCCAAAUGGCCGAAGGUCCUGCUGGUGGGAUGGUGCUUCAGACUGCUGUGAAAACACAACAGAGAGUCUGAAGACUCAGGGAGGAAGAUGACUCUUGGAAACAGAGCUGGCAGUCAGCUGAGGUAAAGAACAAACACCUCAUCACAGAUCCCUGCGAGCGUCCACCCGGCUUUGACCUAGCAUGUUAUGAUGGGGCCCUCCUCAAUCGCUAUCGAACAGGCCAUGGCCGGUGCGCCGCUAUGUUCCAUCGCUGGGGAGCCAAAGACGACCCGAACUGCCCCUGCGCCUCCAGACAGACUAUGACCCACAUAGUCAACGACUGCCACCUCUCCAGAUUCAAAGGAGGUCUCGAAACUUGACAUCAGGCUCAACCUGACGCUGUUGUCUGGCUACGGAAGAAGGGCAAACACUAGAAGAAGAAGAAAGUUCUCAGUCCUUGUUUUAAGGCAUAGAAAUAGUGCGUUUUGAACUAUUUUCCCACAGUAUCAUAUUCACUCUACAAGGUGAGACACUACCUGGCCCCAGAAAGUGUCCUUUUCCUACAGUUGUGAUUAUAUGUCCCCAAAUUGGGCAUUCUGAAACACCUGGGAAG
Erinaceus europaeus (western European hedgehog) is the source of this 836-nucleotide long non-coding RNA. RefSeq lists it as uncharacterized. The record is from RefSeq and is a predicted model, not a curated record. Lineage: Eukaryota; Metazoa; Chordata; Mammalia; Eulipotyphla; Erinaceidae. The transcript has 3 exons.